Non-coding RNA from Salmo salar (Atlantic salmon), 1303 nucleotides. NCBI's taxonomy places the organism in Eukaryota, Metazoa, Chordata, Actinopteri, Salmoniformes, Salmonidae. The record is from RefSeq and is a predicted model, not a curated record.
UGGAGCUGUCGGUUGGUACACAGUGUGUGCUGCUCGGUAGAAGUCUUGUUUAUUUUCAGCGUGCUUAGUUGUAAAGUGUUAAGUUGAUCGCCGUUGUUACCUCUCUAGGUCGUGGUUUUAAAAUACUUGUUUUUCCAGACGUUGAAGUUAGGUUCAGGUUUAGGUUCUGAAUGAAAGAUGAAAAGACGUGAUUUAUAGACGUCUUUGUUUGGGCCAAAUGAAAGCUGGUCCAGAGCAGGCAAAAUCUCAACCAAACACAGACGUCUAUGAUUGGUUCAGAUUUGGUCCAGACCAGACCAAAAACCAACGUCCGUGAAUGUGGAAAUCAGGGCCGGUCCGGAAUGCACCAAAAAAAACAUCCAGUCCAGACAGGACCAAAAAAAGACCUCCAAAAGUUGUCAGUGUUGGACGGUGCUUACUGAGAAUGUUGGUGGAGCUCAGCAGUGAUGCGUCUCCAACAGCACCCUGGAGAGGAGCACUGGGAACGGACAAGAUAAAUAUUUUGCAUCCCUGCCAUUGACAAAGUGGUUACUGCUUAUCACAGGGUGGAAUCAGUGCUCACCUAAAAACCCCACUGAUUGAGAGAAAUUGUAAUUGUUUUUAGGCAGAAUUAUGUGAGGUUUUCUGUGUUGUUGGAGGUGGGUCUUGGUCAGUUUAGCUCAGAAAAUGCUGCCCUCGUCAAUCAUAGGCCUAAUCCUAUGCAGGCCGGCCUUGUGUUUCAUGUUAAUACUACUCCUAAACACAACCCACCAUCACUGUGUCUCAUGUUAAUACUACUCCUAAACACAACCCACCAUCACUGUGUCUCAUGUUAAUACUACUCCUAAACACAACCCACCAUCACUGUGUCUCAUGUUAAUACUACUCCUAAACACAACCCACCAUCACUGUGUCUCAUGUUAAUACUACUCCUAAACACAACCCACCAUCACUGUGUUUCAUGUUAAUACUACUCCUAAACACAACCCACCGUCACUGUGUCUCAUGUUAAUACUACUCCUAAACACAACCCACCAUCACUGUGUCUCAUGUUAAUACUACUCCUAAACACAACCCACCAUCACUGUGUCUCAUGUUAAUACUACUCCGAGAGCUCUUAUGAAGCAUCCACCCAAUCACUCUUACUUUAGGCCAUUUUCAAACAAGUCUACACAACAAUCUAUUACUCUUAAAGUCCUUAAAAUAGCAUGCAGAAGUAUUAUGUGUGAAAUCACAUGUACAAUACUGUAUCAGAUUAAUAUCCAAAAAUACAUCUACAAAGUAUACUGUACUUAACAGAAAAAUAAAACAAUGUAAAUUGUAA